Molecule: transfer RNA, 70 nt
Filed under: Zenarchopterus dispar (feathered river-garfish)
Lineage: Eukaryota; Metazoa; Chordata; Actinopteri; Beloniformes; Zenarchopteridae
Description: tRNA-Gly
Rfam family: tRNA
About the family: Transfer RNA (tRNA) molecules are approximately 80 nucleotides in length. Their secondary structure includes four short double-helical elements and three loops (D, anti-codon, and T loops). Further hydrogen bonds mediate the characteristic L-shaped molecular structure. tRNAs have two regions of fundamental functional importance: the anti-codon, which is responsible for specific mRNA codon recognition, and the 3' end, to which the tRNAs corresponding amino acid is attached (by aminoacyl-tRNA synthetases). tRNAs cope with the degeneracy of the genetic code in two manners: having more than one tRNA (with a specific anti-codon) for a particular amino acid; and 'wobble' base-pairing, i.e. permitting non-standard base-pairing at the 3rd anti-codon position.
Source: RNAcentral
AUUUUUCUAGUACAAAUUAGUACAGAUGACUUCCAAUCAUCUAAUCUUGGUUAAAAUCCAAGGAAAAAUA